AUGGCGCUGCGGCGCAAGGGGAGGUCGGCGGGGCGGCGGGCGGCGGUGAGGUGGUGGCUGCUCUCCCUCCUCGGGGCCGGCGCCGCCGUCACCGCCGCGGCCGCGCUGCUCACCGUCGCGCUCCACGUCUCCGCGUCCGCCACGUCCGGCUCGCCCUACCGCCUGGCCAAGCAGCCGCGGGAGGCCGAGGAGCUGCGCUGGGAGCAGGAGUUCGCGCCGCCGCAGCUCGCCUCGCCGCACGCGCGGAAGCUGGACGGCGCGGCCGAGGACGCGCCGGAGAAGAGGCUGUGGCUGCCGGCCCCGUCGCGCCGGUUCGUGCCCUGCGUCUCGCCGUCGCUCGAGUACAGACGUCCGGAGGCAUCGAGGGGGUACCUGCUCGUACACACCAAUGGCGGGCUCAACCAGAUGCGCGCCGGGAUCAGUGAUAUGGUAGCAGUUGCACGAAUACUCAAGGCUACACUUAUAAUCCCAGAACUUGAUAAGAAAUCGUUUUGGCUCGACAAAAGCAACUUUUCGGAUGUCUUCGACGAAGAACACUUUAUACGUUAUUUGGCAAACGAUGUGAUAAUUGAGAAAAAGUUGCCAAAGGAAUUGGUGAAAGCACCAAAAUCUGUUAGGUACUUCAAGAGUUGGUCUGGAGUAGAUUAUUAUCAGGAUGAGAUUUCUCCACUAUGGGAGCACCGUCAGGUUAUUCGAGCUGCUAAAUCGGAUUCUCGCCUUGCAAACAACUUCCUCCCUCCUGAUAUUCAAAAACUUCGCUGCCGGACCUUUUUCCAGGCACUUAGAUUUGCUCCCCCAAUCGAAGCUUUAGGCAAUCUUUUGGUGGAGAGGAUGAAAGCAUUUGGACCAUAUAUUGCUUUGCAUUUACGCUAUGAGAAGGAUAUGCUUGCUUUUAGUGGGUGUACGUAUGGUCUGUCAGAGACCGAAUCAGAGGAGCUUGCAAUGAUCAGAGGAAACACAACCUACUGGAAGGUGAAAGACAUUGAUCCAUUAGAACAAAGAUCACAUGGUCAUUGUCCCCUGACGCCAAAGGAGGUUGGAAUGUUUCUUUCUGCCCUAGGAUAUCCAUCAAGCACCCCAGUUUACAUAGCUGCAGGGGAGAUAUAUGGAGGUGAAUCUCAUAUGGUCGAUUUGCAAUCCCGAUUCCCAAUUCUGAUGAACAAGGAGAAACUGGCCUCUGCUGAAGAACUGCGACCGUUCAGCCAAUAUGCUUCUCAAAUGGCAGCUUUGGAUUACAUCGUUUCAGUAGAAAGUGAUGUAUUUAUUCCAUCAUAUUCUGGGAACAUGGCACGGGCUGUUGCCGGUCAUCGGCGUUUCCAUGGCCACAGGAAAACAAUCAGUCCUGACAGGAAAGCAUUAGUUCAUUUGUUUGACAAAGUUGACAGUGGAUUACUCGAUGAAGGCAAAAAGCUAUCGCAAAAGAUAAUAGAAAUGCACCAGAAGAGACAAGGUUCUCCUCGGAAACGGAAAGGUCCCGUGUCCGGGACGAGGGGCAGCGAUAGGUUUCGGUCAGAGGAGGCAUUUUACGAGAACCCUCUUCCUGAUUGCCUUUGUCAAUCGAAUGACGAUUCUAUUGUCAGCAUAUAA
RNAcentral lists this ribosomal RNA (1587 nucleotides) under Triticum aestivum (bread wheat). RNAcentral's name for it is "partial small subunit ribosomal RNA". Lineage: Eukaryota; Viridiplantae; Streptophyta; Magnoliopsida; Poales; Poaceae. The record is from RNAcentral.